GCUGUGGUGUAGCUCAAUUGGUAGAGCAUCGCACGCAAAAUGCGAAGGUUGUGGGUUCGGUUCCCACCUGCGGCA
This is a non-coding RNA of Dermacentor albipictus, 75 nucleotides long. The record is from the annotation of a RefSeq genome assembly. Lineage: Eukaryota; Metazoa; Arthropoda; Arachnida; Ixodida; Ixodidae.